Molecule: ribosomal RNA, 3105 nt
Filed under: Microbacterium sp. CF335
Lineage: Bacteria; Bacillati; Actinomycetota; Actinomycetes; Micrococcales; Microbacteriaceae
Description: bacterial LSU rRNA
Rfam family: Bacterial large subunit ribosomal RNA
Source: RNAcentral
UCAAGUCUUUAAGAGCAAACGGUGGAUGCCUUGGCAUCUGGAGCCGAAGAAGGACGUAGCAAUCUGCGAUAAGCCUCGGGGAACUGAUAAGCAAGUUUUGAUCCGAGGGUGUCCGAAUGGGGAAACCCCGCCAGGGCGCGUGCGUACCUGGUGACUCCCGCCUGAAUAUAUAGGGCGGGUAGAGGGAACGUGGGGAAGUGAAACAUCUCAGUACCCACAGGAAGAGAAAGCAACCGCGAUUCCGUUAGUAGUGGCGAGCGAAACCGGAUCAGGCUAAACCUAGCGUGUGUGAUAGCCGGCAGGCGUUGCACGUUGGGGGUUGUGGGACUUUUCUGAUCAUUCUGCCGAGUGGUCGACGUUACAAGAAGGUAUAGACGAACCGCAUUGAAAGGCGGGUCAUAGAGGGUGCCAACCCCGUAGUCGAAAUGCCUCUCUUGGCGUGAAGAGUAUCCCAAGUAGCACGGGGCCCGAGAAAUCCCGUGUGAAUCUGUCAGGACCACCUGAUAAGCCUAAAUACUCCCAGAUGACCGAUAGCGGACAAGUACCGUGAGGGAAAGGUGAAAAGUACCCCGGGAGGGGAGUGAAAUAGUACCUGAAACCGUUUGCUUACAAACCGUUGGAGCCUCCUUAGUAGGGGUGACAGCGUGCCUUUUGAAGAAUGAGCCUGCGAGUUAGCGAUACGUGGCGAGGUUAACCCGUGUGGGGUAGCCGUAGCGAAAGCGAGUCUGAAUAGGGCGAUUUUAGUCGCGUGUCCUAGACCCGAAGCGAAGUGAUCUAUCCAUGGCCAGGUUGAAGCGACGGUAAGACGUCGUGGAGGACCGAACCCACUUAGGUUGAAAACUGAGGGGAUGAGCUGUGGAUAGGGGUGAAAGGCCAAUCAAACUUCGUGAUAGCUGGUUCUCUCCGAAAUGCAUUUAGGUGCAGCGUUGCGUGUUUCUUGCCGGAGGUAGAGCUACUGGAUGGCCGAUGGGCCCUACAAGGUUACUGACGUCAGCCAAACUCCGAAUGCCGGUAAGUGAGAGCGCAGCAGUGAGACUGUGGGGGAUAAGCUUCAUAGUCGAGAGGGAAACAACCCAGACCACCAACUAAGGUCCCUAAGCGCGUGCUAAGUGGGAAAGGAUGUGGAGUUGCUUUGACAACCAGGAGGUUGGCUUAGAAGCAGCCACCCUUGAAAGAGUGCGUAAUAGCUCACUGGUCAAGUGAUUCCGCGCCGACAAUGUAACGGGGCUCAAGCACGCCACCGAAGUUGUGGCAUUGACAUUAGUGGUAGGCCUUCGUGGUCCAGCCGUGUUGAUGGGUAGGAGAGCGUCGUGUGGCCAGCGAAGCGGCGGUGUGAACCAGCCGUGGAGGCUACACGAGUGAGAAUGCAGGCAUGAGUAGCGAAAGACGUGUGAGAAACACGUCCUCCGAAAGACCAAGGGUUCCAGGGUCAAGCUAAUCUUCCCUGGGUAAGUCGGGACCUAAGGCGAGGCCGACAGGCGUAGUCGAUGGACAACGGGUUGAUAUUCCCGUACCGGCGAAGAACCGCCCAAACUAAUCCAGUAGUGCUAAGAGUCCUAACCCGGUUCGAGUGGAUCCCUUCGGGGUGAUGCCGGCCGGUCUAACGCUCGACCCCGUUCUGGUGCGGUUAGCGUAUUAACAGGUGUGACGCAGGAAGGUAGCCCAAGCCAGGCGAUGGUAGUCCUGGUGCAAGUGCGUAGGCCGAACGGUAGGCAAAUCCGCCGUUCAUUAAGGCUGAGACACGAUGCGGAUAAAAAGUGGGUGAUCCUAUGCUGCCAAGAAAAGCAUCGACGCGAGGUUCUAGCUGCCCGUACCCCAAACCGACUCAGGUGGUCAGGUAGAGAAUACCAAGGAGAUCGAGAGAAUCGUGGUUAAGGAACUCGGCAAAAUGCCCCCGUAACUUCGGGAGAAGGGGGGCCAUCCACUUAUACCAGCUUGCCUGGAAAAGGGUGUGGUGGCCGCAGAGACUAGUGGGUAGCGACUGUUUACUAAAAACACAGGUCCGUGCCAAGUCGCAAGACGAUGUAUACGGACUGACGCCUGCCCGGUGCUGGAAGGUUAAGAGGAGGGGUUAGCGUAAGCGAAGCUCUGAAUUUAAGCCCCAGUAAACGGCGGUGGUAACUAUAACCAUCCUAAGGUAGCGAAAUUCCUUGUCGGGUAAGUUCCGACCUGCACGAAUGGCGUAACGACUUCCCAACUGUCUCAACCGCGAACUCGGCGAAAUUGCAUUACGAGUAAAGAUGCUCGUUACGCGCAGCAGGACGGAAAGACCCCGUGACCUUUACUACAGCUUGGUAUUGGUGUUCGGUGUGGCUUGUGUAGGAUAGGUGGGAGACUGUGAAGCGAUCACGCUAGUGGUUGUGGAGUCGUUGUUGAAAUACCACUCUGGUCACUCUGGAUAUCUAACUUCGAACCGUAAUCCGGUUCAGGGACAGUGCCUGGUGGGUAGUUUAACUGGGGCGGUUGCCUCCCAAAAAGUAACGGAGGCGCCCAAAGGUUCCCUCAACCUGGUUGGCAAUCAGGUGGCGAGUGUAAGUGCACAAGGGAGCUUGACUGUGAGACUGACAGGUCGAGCAGGGACGAAAGUCGGGACUAGUGAUCCGGCAGUGGCUUGUGGAAGCGCUGUCGCUCAACGGAUAAAAGGUACCUCGGGGAUAACAGGCUGAUCUUGCCCAAGAGUCCAUAUCGACGGCAUGGUUUGGCACCUCGAUGUCGGCUCGUCGCAUCCUGGGGCUGGAGUAGGUCCCAAGGGUUGGGCUGUUCGCCCAUUAAAGCGGUACGCGAGCUGGGUUUAGAACGUCGUGAGACAGUUCGGUCCCUAUCCGCUGCGCGCGUAGGAAGUUUGAGAGGAUCUGACCCUAGUACGAGAGGACCGGGUUGGACGAACCUCUGGUGUGUCAGUUGUUCCGCCAGGAGCACCGCUGAUUAGCUACGUUCGGGAUGGAUAACCGCUGAAAGCAUCUAAGCGGGAAGCCGGCCUCAAGAUGAGACUUCCAUACCUUCGGGUGAGAGGCUCCCAGCCAGACUACUGGGUUGAUAGGCCAGAUGUGGAAGCGCAGUAAUGCGUGCAGCUGACUGGUACUAAUAAGCCGAUGACUUGAUAAC